AUUGAACGCUGGCGGCAUGCCUUACACAUGCAAGUCGAACGGCAGCGCGGGAGCAAUCCUGGCGGCGAGUGGCGAACGGGUGAGUAGUGCAUCGGAACGUGCCCAGUUGUGGGGAUAGCCCGGCGAAAGCCGGAUUAAUACCGCAUGAGACCUGAGGGUGAAAGCGGGGGAUCGAAAGACCUCGCGCGACUGGAGCGGCCGAUGUCAGAUUAGGUAGUUGGUGGGGUAAGGGCCUACCAAGCCUGCGAUCUGUAGCUGGUCUGAGAGGACGACCGGCCAAACUGGGACUGAGACACGGCCCAGACUCCUACGGGAGGCAGCAGUGGGGAAUUUUGGACAAUGGGCGCAAGCCUGAUCCAGCCAUGCCGCGUGCGGGAAGAAGGCCUUCGGGUUGUAAACCGCUUUUGUCGGGGAAGAAACGGCCUGGGCUAAUACCUUGGGCUAAUGACGGUACCCGAAGAAUAAGCACCGGCUAACUACGUGCCAGCCGCCGCGGUAA
This 499-nucleotide ribosomal RNA is filed under the name uncultured bacterium. RNAcentral's name for it is "partial 16S ribosomal RNA". It matches the Rfam family "Bacterial small subunit ribosomal RNA", at positions 29 to 523 of the family's 1533-position model. The record is from RNAcentral.